UAAGCGUGUAGGCUGGUUUUCCAGGCAAAUCCGGAAAAUCAAGGCUGAGGCGUGAUGACGAGGCACUACGGUGCUGAAGCAACAAAUGCCCUGCUUCCAGGAAAAGCCUCUAAGCAUCAGGUAACAUCAAAUCGUACCCCAAACCGACACAGGUGGUCAGGUAGAGAAUACCAAGGCGCUUGAGAGAACUCGGGUGAAGGAACUAGGCAAAAUGGUGCCGUAACUUCGGGAGAAGGCACGCUGAUAUGUAGGUGAAGUCCCUCGCGGAUGGAGCUGAAAUCAGUCGAAGAUACCAGCUGGCUGCAACUGUUUAUUAAAAACACAGCACUGUGCAAACACGAAAGUGGACGUAUACGGUGUGACGCCUGCCCGGUGC
RNAcentral lists this ribosomal RNA (376 nucleotides) under Escherichia coli. RNAcentral's name for it is "partial 23S ribosomal RNA". It matches the Rfam family "Bacterial large subunit ribosomal RNA", at positions 1513 to 1869 of the family's 2925-position model. Lineage: Bacteria; Pseudomonadati; Pseudomonadota; Gammaproteobacteria; Enterobacterales; Enterobacteriaceae. The record is from RNAcentral.